Molecule: long non-coding RNA, 242 nt
Filed under: Mytilus galloprovincialis (Mediterranean mussel)
Lineage: Eukaryota; Metazoa; Mollusca; Bivalvia; Mytilida; Mytilidae
Source: RNAcentral
GAAUAAAAUUGUUGAAAAGUUUAGAGAAACAACUUUUAAAAUAUUUUGGAAAUGUUGAAAACAUGAAAUAUAUAGUAAAUUUUUAUGAUCAUAUUUUCCAAUACUAUAUACCAUAAAAAAUAAUUAAAUUGUUCUUUAUCUGUUUUGAGUCUGUAAUCUAAAUUUCUUCAUAUUUUAACAUCUAGAAAGUUUUGAACGGCCAUCUUGAGUGUUAAACAUCACUUCUUUUCAUUUUUUACCUG